GCCGACGUAGCUCAGUUGGUAGAGCAGCGCUUUCGUAAAGCGCGGGUCGGGGGUUCAAUUCCCUUCGUCGGCU
Molecule: transfer RNA, 73 nt
Filed under: Candidatus Omnitrophota bacterium
Lineage: Bacteria; Pseudomonadati; Candidatus Omnitrophota
Description: tRNA-Thr
Rfam family: tRNA
About the family: Transfer RNA (tRNA) molecules are approximately 80 nucleotides in length. Their secondary structure includes four short double-helical elements and three loops (D, anti-codon, and T loops).
Source: RNAcentral